GUGAAUCAUCGAAUCUUUGAACGCACCUUGCACCCUUUGGUAUUCCGAAGGGUACACCCGUUUGAGUGUCAUUGUAAUCUCACCAUCCAACUCUUUGUUGGCAUGUUGUGGAUUUGGAUGUUGCCGUGUCACAACGGCUCAUCUGAAAUGCCUGAGUACAUCCUGGAUGUGUGAUGUGUUCGGUGUGAUAAACUUUCACCGGCUCUGACCCUGGCGGUCACACUCACCUGACCAAGGCUCUGUGCUUCCAACCGUCUUGAUUGGACAAUUUUGACAAUUUGACCUCAAAUCGGGUGGGACUACCCGCUGAACUUAAGCAUAUCAAUAAGCGGAGGA
RNAcentral lists this unclassified non-coding RNA (336 nucleotides) under Serendipita sp. RNAcentral's name for it is "partial contains 5.8S ribosomal RNA, internal transcribed spacer 2, and large subunit ribosomal RNA". The stretch from base 1 to 71 matches the Rfam family "5.8S ribosomal RNA", at positions 84 to 154 of the family's 154-position model. The record is from RNAcentral. Lineage: Eukaryota; Fungi; Basidiomycota; Agaricomycetes; Sebacinales; Serendipitaceae.